AAUUAUACUAUUUAGAAAUUCGAACUCUAAACCCUAAUCCAUCAUUCCUAAAUCCUAUAUGGUUUUUGAAAUACGAACCCUAAACCCUAAAACCUCAACUCUAUACCCUAAACCCUAAAAAGUAAACUCUAAACCCUAAAACUCAACUCUAAACCCUAAACCAUCAAUCCUAAACUCUAUAUGUUUUUUGAAAUACGAACGCUAAACCCUAAAACCUCAACUCUAAACCCUAAAUCCUAAAAAGUAAACUCUAAACCCUUAAAUCUAAACCCUAAACCUUCAACUCUAAACUCUAAAACAUCAACUUUAAACGCUAAACUUCAACUCUUAUCCCUAAACAAUCAAAACUUAUCUCUAAACUAUCAACACUUAACCCUAAAUCCUAAAGAAGAAACUCUUACCCCUAAAACAUCAACUCUAAACCCUAAACCUUCAAAUCUAAACCCUAAACCAUAAACCUUCAACUCUAAACCCUAAAACAUCAACUUUAAACACUAAACCGUAAACUUGAACUCUAAACCCUAAACUAUCAACACUAAACCCUAAACUAUCAACACUUAACCCC
RNAcentral lists this long non-coding RNA (565 nucleotides) under Brassica napus (rape). Its description in RNAcentral is "long non-coding RNA (BNAP_LNC005790)". The record is from RNAcentral. Lineage: Eukaryota; Viridiplantae; Streptophyta; Magnoliopsida; Brassicales; Brassicaceae.